AGCGAACGCUGGCGGUAGGCCUAACACAUGCAAGUCGAACGGCAGCACAGUAAUAGCUGGCUGUUACGGGGGGCGAGGGGCGGAUGAGACAGGAGUAAACCGGAAUCUACUUUUGCGUGGGGGAUAACGUAGGGUAACUUACGCUAAUACCCCAUACGACCUACGGGGGAAAGCAUGGGAUCGUCGGACCUGGCGGGAGUGAAUGAGCCGAUGUCGGAGUCGCUAGUUGGCGGGGUAAAGGCCCACCAAGUCGACGAUCCGUAGCUGGUCUGGGAGGAUGAUAGGCCGCACUGGAACUUAGGCACGGUCCAGCCUCCUACGGGAGGACGCAGUGGGGAAUAUUGGACAAUGGGCGAAUGCCUGAUCCAGCCAUACCGCGUGGGUGCAGAAGGCCUUCGGGUUGUAAAGCCCUUUUGUUCGGACAGAAAAGCAGCAGCUUAAUCCCCCGCUGUUCUGACGGUACCCAAAGAAUAAGCCCCGGCUAACUUCGUG
This 492-nucleotide ribosomal RNA is filed under the name uncultured bacterium. Its description in RNAcentral is "partial 16S ribosomal RNA". It matches the Rfam family "Bacterial small subunit ribosomal RNA", at positions 29 to 507 of the family's 1533-position model. The record is from RNAcentral.